Gorilla gorilla gorilla (western lowland gorilla) is the source of this 2368-nucleotide RNA transcript. It is a transcript of the gene named sperm microtubule inner protein 1, with no coding region annotated. NCBI's taxonomy places the organism in Eukaryota, Metazoa, Chordata, Mammalia, Primates, Hominidae. The transcript is spliced from 2 exons. The record is from RefSeq and is a predicted model, not a curated record.
CAAAGACAGGCAUAGAAGAGCUGGCCCAGGAGGAUUGUGCCGGGAGGCAGAACUCAAGGACUGGUCCUUGGAUCAGAGAAGACCAGCUCUGGUCUGGGGAGGAAUGGAAGGAGGCUUGAGCUCAGCUCCUGCCUCCCCCACCUUGCUCGGCAUUGGGCUGGGAAGGGGGCCAGACCCAAAGGACAGAAGCAGAAAGCACACGAAACCUGGGAGCCUGUGAUGCCAGAUCCCGCGUGGGCCCUGCGGGAGUUUUGGGGAGCAGGGCUCUUAACCAGUGGGCCCUGGCCUCAGGCUGCCUCAGGAAGCCAGGCUCAUGCUGGGGGCAUGGCAAGUAGAACCCUGGCCCUGUGUGAGGUGAGGCAUGGUUGCCAGGUGACUGUGCCUGGGCAGCCACUCGCCGUCAGAAGCACUCUGCUUGCUGUGCUCACCCCUCAGCUGUGGCCACCCUGGUGCCACUCCUUCCCUGGCCGCCAUGUCACGGCAGCUCAACAUAGACACAUUACGGCAGAACUUCUGGAAGGAGGAAUAUCUGAGGGAAAAGAUGUUGCACUGUGAAUGGUACCGCAAGUAUGGGUUGAUGGUGAAGGCCAAGCAGAAGGCUAAGGCUGCAGCCCGCCUGCCCCUCAGACUGCCCACCCUGCACCCCAAAGCCCCACUCUCACCCCCAUCCGCCCCCAAGUCAGCCCCUUCCAAGGUGCCCAGCCCUGUCCCAGAGGCGCCUUUUCAGUCGGAAAUGUACCCGGUACCACCUGUCACCCGAGCCCUGCUGUAUGAAGGCAUCUCCCACGACUUCCAGGGGCGCUACCGCUACCUCAACACUCGAAAACUGGACAUGCCAGAGACGCGAUACCUCUUCCCCGUCACCACCAGCUUCACAUAUGGCUGGCAGCUGGGUGAGCCCAACCUCUUGGAAAUCACCUCAAAAACAGAGCACUAGCCAUGUGCUAGGGAGUGGGCAUCCUGGUGAAGGGUCCAGACCAUAAACAGAGCAAGGAGAUGGCCAAGAAGUGUCGACACGUUCCACAGAACUAGGGAGUGGUGGUGGGCAGGGAGGCAGCGGCCAUGUGCUGCUAUUUAUUGGAUUGUCAGGAAAGGCCUUUCUGAGGACCCGAGGCUGAGAGCCAGAUGAUAAGGAUGGGUUUGGAUUUUAUUUGUUGUGCAGGGAAGCUGAUGGAGGGUUCUAAGCAGAUUUCAAGAGUGACACUGAUGAACCUUUUAAAAAGUCACCCUGACCUGUAUGUAGGCAGUGGCUUUUUCAGGGGAAAUGGUAGAAUCUGGCACAUGAGUUGGGCAUCUGUUUUGUUACCCUGUGGUAGUGGCCUGAGGGAUCAGCAAUAGAGCUGAAAUCAAUUCAGGAUGUUUUGGGGGAAGACUCGGUGGAACUCACCCGUGGAUAGAAUGUGAGAAUAAGGGGAAGAGAGAUCAAUCACCCAGGUGUUUAGCUAAAGCUGCAGUGACAGGGAAGACUGGGAGAGGUCAGGGCUGGAGCGUGCAUGAACAGGUCCUAUUUAGCCAUGUGUGUUUGGCUAUGUUAUGCUUGAAGUGUCUAUAGGGUGGCUGUGUCUAUAAGUCUGGAUUGAAGUCAGAGCUGAAGAUGCAAAUUCAGAGGUCAUUUGAAUAUAGGUGCUUUUUUUUUUUCUUUUUCUUUUUGAAACAGUCUCACUCUGUCACCCAGGCUGGAAUGCAGUGGCACGAUCUUGGCUCACUGCAACCUCUGCCUCCCAGGUUCAAGAGAUUCUUCUGCCUCAGCCUCCCGAGUAGCUGGGACUACAGGUGUGUGUCACCACGCCCAGCUAAUUUUUGUUUUUUUAGUACAGACAGGGUUUCACCAUAUUGGCCAGGCUGGUCUCGAACUGCUGACCUCAUAAUCUGCCUGUCUCAGCCUCCCAAAGUGCUGGGAUUACAGGCAUGAGCCACCGCCCAGCCUAUAGGUGCUAUUUAAAUCCAUGAGAUCUCCUAGGGAGCUCAAGUUGCUGGAAUCUGAUAGGAGUGGGGGCAGGAGGGCUGAGCCAGAGGGGGUAGGGGAUGGCAUUGGCAGGAAGCCCGUCCAUCUCGGCUGAGUCUUUUUUCUGUGAGGUUGAGUCAAGGCCAUCAGCGGGGAGGGAGCUGAGCUGAGGCAGUGGAGUAACUAGAGAUGAAGAGGAAAGGUGUGGAACAGGCAUGUGCCAGGCAGGGCUGCUGGGUGAUGUUGCUGCACAUCCCAUUGCUGUCUGAGCUCAUGAAUGUCAGGCCCCCCAGUGAAGCAAGAACUGGUCUCCUGCAAGAUGUGCCGCAUUGAGUCAUUCUUCCGCAAGAACGGGGCCUUCGCACUGCUUGAUCCCCGAGACCUGGCCCUCUGACCGUGGGCCAGGUGUGGGCUUAGGGGAGG